Molecule: ribosomal RNA, 468 nt
Filed under: uncultured bacterium
Lineage: Bacteria
Description: partial 16S ribosomal RNA
Rfam family: Bacterial small subunit ribosomal RNA
Source: RNAcentral
GACGAACGCUGGCGGCGUGCUUAACACAUGCAAGUCGAACGGAAAGGCCCUGCUUUUGCGGGGUGCUCGAGUGGCGAACGGGUGAGUAACACGUGAGUAACCUGCCCUUGAAUUUGGGAUAACUUCAGGAAACUGGGGCUAAUACCGGAUAGGAGCUCCUGCUGCAUGGUGGGGGUUGGAAAGUUUCGGCGGUUGGGGAUGGACUCGCGGCUUAUCAGCUUGUUGGUGGGGUAGUGGCUUACCAAGGCUUUGACGGGUAGCCGGCCUGAGAGGGUGACCGGCCACAUUGGGACUGAGAUACGGCCCAGACUCCUACGGGAGGCAGCAGUGGGGAAUAUUGCACAAUGGGCGGAAGCCUGAUGCAGCAACGCCGCGUGCGGGAUGACGGCCUUCGGGUUGUAAACCGCUUUCGCCUGUGACGAAGCGUGAGUGACGGUAAUGGGUAAAGAAGCACCGGCUAACUACGUG